RNAcentral lists this ribosomal RNA (467 nucleotides) under uncultured bacterium. RNAcentral describes it as "bacterial SSU rRNA". It matches the Rfam family "Bacterial small subunit ribosomal RNA", at positions 28 to 507 of the family's 1533-position model. The record is from RNAcentral.
GACGAACGCUGGCGGCGCGCCUAACACAUGCAAGUCGAACGAGCGAAGAGGAGCUUGCUUCUCUGAGCGAGUGGCGAACGGGUGAGUAACGCGUGAGGAACCCGCCUCAAAGAGGGGGACAACAGUUGGAAACGACUGCUAAUACCGCAUAAGCCCACGGGUCGGCAUCGACCAGAGGGAAAAGGAGCAAUCCGCUUUGAGAUGGCCUCGCGUCCGAUUAGCUAGUUGGUGAGGUAAUGGCCCACCAAGGCGACGAUCGGUAGCCGGACUGAGAGGUUGAACGGCCACAUUGGGACUGAGACACGGCCCAGACUCCUACGGGAGGCAGCAGUGGGGAAUAUUGCACAAUGGGGGGAAACCCUGAUGCAGCGACGCCGCGUGGAGGAAGAAGGUCUUCGGAUUGUAAACUCCUGUUGUUGAGGAAGAUAAUGACGGUACUCAACAAGGAAGUGACGGCUAACUACGUG